AUUGAACGCUGGCGGCAGGCCUAACACAUGCAAGUCGAACGAGUGGCGGACGGGUGAGUAAUGUCUGGGAAACUGCCUGAUGGCGGGGGAUAACUCCUGGAAACGGUAGCUAAUACCGCAUACCAUCGGAUGUGCCCAGAUGGGAUUAGCUUGUAGGUGAGGUAACGGCUCACCUAGGCGACGAUCCCUAGCUGGUCUGAGAGGAUGACCAGCCAAACUGGAACUGAGACACGGUCCAGACUCCUACGGGAGGCAGCAGUGGGGAAGAUUGCACAAGGGGCUCAAGCCUGAUGCAGCCAUGCCGCGUGUAUGAAGAAGGCCUUCGGGUUGUAAAGUACUUUCAGCGGGGAGGCGUUACCCGCAGAAGAAGCACCGGCUAACUCCGUGCCAGCAGCCGCGGUAAUAC
RNAcentral lists this ribosomal RNA (406 nucleotides) under uncultured bacterium. Its description in RNAcentral is "partial 16S ribosomal RNA". It matches the Rfam family "Bacterial small subunit ribosomal RNA", at positions 30 to 526 of the family's 1533-position model. The record is from RNAcentral.